Gasterosteus aculeatus aculeatus (three-spined stickleback) is the source of this 2337-nucleotide long non-coding RNA. The record is from Ensembl. Lineage: Eukaryota; Metazoa; Chordata; Actinopteri; Perciformes; Gasterosteidae.
AGCGGCCGCACGGUGCGUAAAAAGUUUGGGUUUGGCGCUUUGCGCCGCUCCUGCUGACACACCUGCCUAUUGACAAGAAGGUGUGUGUGCGCGCGUGUGUGUGUGCUCGGCUCGUACGGUUCUCCCUGAAGGUCGUCGUGUUUGAAUCAACGACGAAGUGUUUGCUAAACAGUAGUUUCCACCAUCGAAGCACGUCACGUUCUCCUGUUGAAUUGUGUAUCUUUUUUACGUCGUGGCAACAAGCCACUCUGUAUCUAAAGCUUCAUAAUGACCUGUAAUAAAGAGUUAUGCUUAAAAAGGUUUUUUUUAAUCAAGGAUUUGACCUUAUCACGGGUGAAAAAUAGCUCUGGCUAAAUGUUCUCCAGCUGUCUUCAUCGUUCUGAAGCGAGCAAAAAAGAUCGCGGCCGACCCCUCUCACCCCGGACAAAACCUGUUUGUGCCCCUUCCAUCUGGCAGGAGGCUGAGGUCCAUCAGGACUAAGACCUCCCGCCACACCAACAGUUUCUUCCCGUCGGCAGUCGGGCUCAUCAACAGAGCCGGUCCCCCACUGCCUGACUGUAACACUCCACCGGUCACUCUCCUUCACACUGCUCAUGUCACGUUAACUGCAAUUUUUCACUUUGUCGUCACUUUGUCACUUGUUCGCUAGUGCACUUUAUGUUUAAUAUUUUUUUAAUUUUUAAUUUUAUUUUUAACUUAAACUUUAUUCUCUUGUUUUAUACUAACCCAUAGCCUUAUUCUACUAACCCAUUGCAUUAGCAUUUCAUUUUAUUUUAUUAAAUUACUUGUGCACUGCUGUCUUGUUGUCCUACACUGUCUACUGUCACGCACCAACCGCCAAGACAAAUUCCUUGUAUGUUUGACAUAUUUUGGCAAUAAAUGUUUCCUUAUUCCUGAUUUAAAACGGCACAAUGCUGCUGCCUUAAAUGAGCCCAAGUAAUCUAAGUAUGUUUUUCACAAUGUGGUGUAGUUUAGUUAACAGCAUUACCACCCACCUUAAAAAACUAUUCUGUUUCAAACUUCUUGAAAGAGCAGUUUAGUUGCGUUUCUCUAAAUCUUAAACAUUGUUCAAAUGUAUUGUGUGUGUAUUAAAGUCUAGAUUAUAUUGUUCCUUUGGGUCAAGGAGCUCCAUUAAAACAUAUCAGUGAUGACUUGUUCCUUCAUUGUCAUGAACGAACACCGUCAAAUGACAAAACAACAAAUCCUACCAUUUCAUUGUUUGAUACAAAAACUACUGUGCUGUUUCAAUUCUUUAAGGGAAGUUAUAAAGUAAAAGUACUUCCUUUUACAUCUUCAGGUAGCUGAAAAGUUUAAAGACUAAAACUGGUUCUAAUCCAACAUGAAAGCUUUUCAGUUUGAGCUCUAAUCUUAAUCUUUCACUUGGAGCAGCUGCUUUGCAUUCGUUUAAAGGUUCAGUUUCUCAGCGAACACAAGGAUUCUAGAAGUUACAUCAGAGAAGUUCACGAAGUCAGAAGCUCAAAGAAUCAGGAUUCCGGACAAAUCUGUGGAAUAAUGUAGUUUAAAAGUAAAAAGGGCAGGAGGAAGGAGAAAAAAAAAACUUUGAACUCUUGUGUGAGCCUUCGGAUGGUGACGUAAGCUGUGUAAGAUUGUUUACCUUCAUAAAAGUACUGAUAGAACAGUGUUCCAAUCCUCCAUAACAAGUCCUGCAUUCCAAACCGUGAAAGUAAAACAAUUCUAUCACCAAACUGUACUUAACAUCAAAGGCAAACGUAUUUGCUGAUACGGCUCCAUCAAUAUUGAGUAGCAUGUUACUGUGGUUGCUGGUUUUAAACACUUUAUACAACGUAAGAUAUAGUUGUAUGUCAACACAAAAUGUUGGAUAUGCAUUUUCUUUUAUCUUCUUUUUUCUGGAAAUUCGAGAUAGAUUUACUUCUUUGGUCUACAUUUUUAUUUUAGCAUGUAUGUUUGUCUCAUUGACUAAUGAUGCAAUAUAUUUAUUCUGGAAUAAAGUAGAAAGUACAAAUAUUAAAGUAAAUAAACAUGUACGUGUUCUGCCUUUCUAUUCAUCAAGGACAAAGAGAUCCAUGCACCUCGAGUCUGUAACGCAAAAGAAAAGGCGUGAGAUAGAUAGCACACCGUUUUAUUAGUAUAUUUAGCUUUGUGACAUACAGCUCGGGAGGAAAAACAAAAACAAAAAAUAAACGGUCACAAUUUUUUUGAAGUCCAGAAACAUUUCAGCCUUAGCAGGGACAUCACACAAAAGAAAGCUCAGUUCUUGGAUCAUUGAUUUCUUUGUCAUGGACCAGAGUGAUAUGUUCUCGUUGUGCUAAACAAAAAUGUCUGUACCGCUCAAACAGUCAACAAAUAAAAAUAAAA